UACGUAUGUCACAAGCGUUAUCCGGAUUUAUUGGGCGUAAAGCGCGUCUAGGCGGUUAAUUAAGUCUGAUGUGAAAAUGCGGAGCUCAACUCCGUAUUGCGUUGGAAACUGGUUAACUAGAGUACUGGAGAGGUAAGCGGAACUACAAGUGUAGAGGUGAAAUUCGUAGAUAUUUGUAGGAAUGCCGAUGGGGAAGCCAGCUUACUGGACAGAUACUUACGCUAAAGCGCGAAAGCGUGGGUAGCAAACAGG
This 252-nucleotide ribosomal RNA is filed under the name uncultured bacterium. Its description in RNAcentral is "partial 16S ribosomal RNA". It matches the Rfam family "Bacterial small subunit ribosomal RNA", at positions 524 to 776 of the family's 1533-position model. The record is from RNAcentral.